GGUCGGUAGGUCGGAAAUAAAAUUUUUUUUUGAAUAUUUUUUUCAUGGUUUUGGCAGUUUUUUGCUGGGCGAUUUGCAGUAGAGUCCCAACAUCAAUAUUAACUAGAGAUGCGUAUUUCCUAUGGACGAAUUUAGGCAAUUUGGUUCAAUAAUUAGUGUGACAACAGACGCCAUUUUGGCACGCUGUACGAGCAGCCAGCAACCACCUGGAGAAAAUAGGGUCACACGGUCAAUCGCGUUGAAAAAAUAAUAGGGUCGGCAGAAAAAAAUAGGGUCGGUUGGGAACCGGAACCACAGGUAUUUUUUU
This is a non-coding RNA of Paramuricea clavata, 307 nucleotides long. NCBI's taxonomy places the organism in Eukaryota, Metazoa, Cnidaria, Anthozoa, Malacalcyonacea, Plexauridae. The record is from the annotation of a GenBank genome assembly.